ACGCUCGACACCUACGGAGGCAGCAGUGGGGAAUAUUGCACAAUGGGGGAAACCCUGAUGCAGCGACGCCGCGUGGAGGAAGAAGGUCUUCGGAUUGUAAACUCCUGUUGUUGGGGAAAAAGAGGAUGGUACCCAACAAGGAAGUGACGGCUAACUACGUUCGCANNCGCCGUAGUAUNGNGGCGNGCGAGAG
This 193-nucleotide ribosomal RNA is filed under the name uncultured bacterium. RNAcentral's name for it is "partial 16S ribosomal RNA". It matches the Rfam family "Bacterial small subunit ribosomal RNA", at positions 328 to 540 of the family's 1533-position model. The record is from RNAcentral.